This 493-nucleotide ribosomal RNA is filed under the name uncultured bacterium. RNAcentral's name for it is "partial 16S ribosomal RNA". It matches the Rfam family "Bacterial small subunit ribosomal RNA", at positions 29 to 507 of the family's 1533-position model. The record is from RNAcentral.
ACGAACGCUGGCGGCGUGCUUAACACAUGCAAGUCGAACGGAAAGGCCUGCUUUCCCUUGUGGAUUGCGGGUACUCGAGUGGCGAACGGGUGAGUAACACGUGAGUGAUCUGCCCCCAACUUGGGUAUAAGCCUGGGAAACUGGGUCUAAUUCCCGAUAGGACUGCAGGGUGGUGCCUGUGGUGGAAAACGAUUUUCUAGUGGUUGGGGAUGAGCUCGCGGCCUAUCAGCUUGUUGGUGGGGUAAUGGCCUACCAAGGCGGCGACGGGUAGCCGGCCUGAGAGGGUGGACGGCCACAUUGGGACUGAGAUACGGCCCAGACUCCUACGGGAGGCAGCAGUGGGGAAUAGUGCACAAUGGGCGGAAGCCUGAUGCAGCGACGCCGCGUGGGGGAUGACGGCCUUCGGGUUGUAAACUCCUUUCGACCGCGAGGAAGCCACCUGGUUGGAAGGGUGGUGACGGUAGUGGUAGAAGAAGCACCGGCUAACUACGUG